Drosophila melanogaster (fruit fly) is the source of this 432-nucleotide non-coding RNA. NCBI's taxonomy places the organism in Eukaryota, Metazoa, Arthropoda, Insecta, Diptera, Drosophilidae. The record is from Ensembl.
CAGCGCUGCGGCAGAGCGUGAGCAGCGAUGCCGGCAGAAGACGGAAAUACCAGGCGAACGAUGACGAACGUAAAAACUACGCACCAAGCACAAUAACAACACCAAAACACGCCACGAAAAACAAACAAACAAGCAAGUAGAGCGAGCGAGAUACAUUUGGAGAGAAAUACGUAGUGGGGGGAGAGAGAGAGAGAGACAGAGAUAGAAGUGGGAGAGCACCUGCCCCCAAUGUACCGCCCACUCGGCUAACGAGCAAACAAAACUAAACAAAAAUAAAUAGAAACCGAAACAGAAACACAAGAAAGGCAGUGAAAUAGAAAAGCAGGAAAUAUUUCGAACUUAUGAAGUGCGGAGAAAAGAGAAGACUUAGAGCUUUGCAUUUCUAUUAUUAAUAAGUUUUCAGAAAAUCCAUUUGAGUGCACAGACAGUAUU